AACAGCCAUAAUAAGUUGUGAAACAGCCAUUGCCACUGCCCUUGGAUAAGCAUAGUCCCUCACAAUAAUCUCAGAAAAGAAACCACCGCCCACACGGCCGAGAAAGUUCCAGAUGCUUAUCAUGGACACAAAUAUAUGUGUAUUAUCAUAACCCAGAGAUUGACUCAUUUGACCCAGAUUAUCAAUCACAGUUAGCCCAGAUCCAGAACCCAAUAAAAGUGACACAAAAAUAAGCCAAAAAUCUGCCUUGAUUAAUGCCUGCAUCA
Molecule: unclassified non-coding RNA, 266 nt
Filed under: Hevea brasiliensis (rubber tree)
Lineage: Eukaryota; Viridiplantae; Streptophyta; Magnoliopsida; Malpighiales; Euphorbiaceae
Source: RNAcentral